CCGGGGUCCUGGGAGCGUCUGUGGGACAGGUGAGAGACAGGUGAGAUGUGAUACAGGUGAGAUACAGGUGAGAUACAGGUGAGAUAUGGAGAGAGAAAUGAGAUACAGGUGAGAUACGGACACGUGAGGGCGGAGCAGGUGAGGCGCACCUGCUCACCGGCCAGCACCCAGAAUGUUCCAUUGAGCACAGGUGUGCGGGGGGCAUCUGUGGGACAGGUGAGAUGUGAUACAGGUGAGAUAUGGGACAGGUGAGAUGAGAUACAGGUGAGAUACAGGUGAGAUAUGGAGAGAGAAAUGAGAGAAAUGUGGGAUAUGGGCACCUGAGGGCGGAGCAGGUGAGGCGCACCUGCUCAC
This is a long non-coding RNA of Zonotrichia leucophrys gambelii, 354 nucleotides long. RefSeq lists it as uncharacterized. NCBI's taxonomy places the organism in Eukaryota, Metazoa, Chordata, Aves, Passeriformes, Passerellidae. The transcript has 4 exons. The record is from RefSeq and is a predicted model, not a curated record.